This is a long non-coding RNA of Oenanthe melanoleuca, 604 nucleotides long. RefSeq lists it as uncharacterized. The record is from RefSeq and is a predicted model, not a curated record. Lineage: Eukaryota; Metazoa; Chordata; Aves; Passeriformes; Muscicapidae. The transcript is spliced from 5 exons.
CUGGGAUGCGGCGGGAUCUUCGUCCGGGCGCUGUGCCGAGCGCGACCCAGGGACCGGCCCCGGUGCUGCCCGAAUCCUGAGGCGCUCAGAUCACAGGAUAUAGUGGGGUCGAGAGAAAUCCUGAAAUCUGACUCUCAGGCACGCAGCAUGUGGCAGAAUUGAACUCACAUCCCGGCCAGUACCUGGACUCUGCUCCAACUGACUGAGACAAUCUCUGGGUCACAGGGAGAAAUGAGCAGGAUAAGUCCUGAGGCUUCCCUUGCUGCAUGACCAGAGCUCUUCUGGAGAGUGGCAGGGGGCAUUUCCUGCAGUGUCCUGCCUGUGCCAGGCACACGGCCCGGGAUGGGCGCUGGGUGCCCGGCGGGCGCUGGCACGGACACGGCUCAGGGGCUGCUCUGAACAGGCUCCUGGAGAUGCUUCAGCCUGGACACAGCCACUGACAGCCCAAAGGCACCCCAAGGAGCAGCUGGCACUGCCUGGUGAUGGCAGCACGGGCUGCGUGCAGAGGGGCUCAGACAGCAAUUCCUGGUUCCAGCCUCCCAGAGCUCCCAGGCAGCUGCCAGCUAUCAAAUGCCAACCGACAGCCUGCAGAGAUGCCUUAAAA